AAGAGAAGUAUGAACCCUGAUACCCAGGAACUUAAAAUCAGGUGUAUAAAUUUUGUACACCUAAAAAAUAUGGUACCUAAAGAGGCGAACAGCAAAACAAGCAAGAAUGUGAAUCUUUAAAAUGUUUCUAUUCUUCAGCGCAGCCCAGGAAUUCUACCUAAAGUAACAUAUCCUAAGGCAACAACCAAGAAGUGUGGAAGAAUGCAUGUAAGAAGACACAGUGAUGUUUAGAAUCCUGGGGAAACGGAACAGCCAAAAAGUCUCACAGAGG
Molecule: long non-coding RNA, 271 nt
Filed under: Homo sapiens (human)
Lineage: Eukaryota; Metazoa; Chordata; Mammalia; Primates; Hominidae
Description: non-protein coding STK24-AS1:5
Source: RNAcentral